GUAAAAUAGGUAUUUAAAAAAGACAAGUAGGAAAAAAGGGGGGAGAAUGCUUAUUGUUUAAAGUUGAGGGGGGAAUUUGAUUUUUAAAGUAAAGUCGAGGGGGGGGAAAUGAUUUUUUCCCUUAAUUAAAUAUAUCUUUCAUUAUAUUAUGAGAUAAAUUUACCCUUAUAUCAUACUUUAAAGUUAAAUUUACCCUCGUUAUUAAGAAAUUUUGCAUAUAUCAUUUCUUUAACAGAAAAGUCUAAAUCAAUAUUAAAUUAGUCAUUUUUUUAAACACAAAAUAUAUCCUAAUCUAGUUCAUCUGAUUCGACCCACAAAACAAUAAACAGUCAAAUAUAUCCCCCAUUCAGUUCUAUUGGUUGAAUUUUUCCAACAACAAACACACUUAUCUUUCAACGUGCGUAAGUUGUCUACAAAUAAACAAAAUGUAAAAUGAAAUGGGAUAACGCAAAAACAUAAAAUUGAAAAAAUUUGACAAACAAAAUUAAGGGGUAUAUUUAUUGGUGUUUUUUUUGGUGGCUCGAGUCAGGUCGGGGGAUAGGGCGGGAGAUUAGGGUGUGUUCUAUUAUUAAAAAAAAAAGG
This 582-nucleotide long non-coding RNA is filed under the name Capsicum annuum. Its description in RNAcentral is "long non-coding RNA (CANN_LNC009041)". The record is from RNAcentral. Lineage: Eukaryota; Viridiplantae; Streptophyta; Magnoliopsida; Solanales; Solanaceae.